Molecule: ribosomal RNA, 492 nt
Filed under: uncultured bacterium
Lineage: Bacteria
Description: partial 16S ribosomal RNA
Rfam family: Bacterial small subunit ribosomal RNA
Source: RNAcentral
AGUGAACGCUGGCGGUAGGCCUAACACAUGCAAGUCGAACGGCAGCACAGUAAGAGCUUGCUCUUACGGGUGGCGAGUGGCGGACGAGUGAGGAAUACAUCGGAAUCUACUUUUUCGUGGGGGAUAACGUAGGGAAACUUACGCUAAUACCGCAUACGACCUACGGGUGAAGGCAGGGGAUCUUCGGACCUUGCGCGAUUGAAUGAGCCGAUGUCGGAUUAGCUAGUUGGCGGGGUAAAGGCCCACCAAGGCGACGAUCCGUAGCUGGUCUGAGAGGAUGAUCAGCCACACUGGAACUGAGACACGGUCCAGACUCCUACGGGAGGCAGCAGUGGGGAAUAUUGGACAAUGGGCGCAAGCCUGAUCCAGCCAUACCGCGUGGGUGAAGAAGGCCUUCGGGUUGUAAAGCCCUUUUGUUGGGAAAGAAAAGCAGCAGGUUAAUACCCCGCUGUUCUGACGGUACCCAAAGAAUAAGCACCGGCUAACUUCGUG